Molecule: ribosomal RNA, 803 nt
Filed under: uncultured Bacteroidota bacterium
Lineage: Bacteria; Pseudomonadati; Bacteroidota
Description: bacterial SSU rRNA
Rfam family: Bacterial small subunit ribosomal RNA
Source: RNAcentral
GAUGAACGCUAGCUAUAGGCUUACACAUGCAAGUCGAGGGGAAACGGCAUUAUGUGCUUGCACAUUUUGGACGUCGACCGGCGCACGGGUGAGUAUCGCGUAUCCAACCUGCCCUCCACUCGGGGUAUACCCCGCUUGAAAGACGGCCUAAUACCCGAUGUUGUCCACAUAUGGCAUCUGACGUGGACCAAAGAUUCAUCGGUGGAGGAUGGGGGUGCGUCUGAUUAGCUUGUUGGUGCGGGUAACGGCCCACCAAGGCGACGAUCAGUAGGGGUUCUGACAGGAAGGUCCCCCACAUUGGAACUGAGACACGGUCCAAACUCCUACGGGAGGCAGCAGUGAGGAAUAUUGGUCAAUGGACGGAAGUCUGAACCAGCCACGUAGCGUGCAGGAUUGACGGCCCUAUGGGUUGUAAACUGCUUUAGUUGGGGAGUACAGUGAGGCACGCGUGCCUUUCUGCAUUUACCCUUCGAAUAAGGACCGGCUAAUUCCGUGCCAGCAGCCGCGGUAAUACGGAAGGUCCAGGCGUUAUCCGGAUUUAUUGGGUUUAACAGGGAGUGUAUGCGGUCUGUUAAGCGUGUCGUGACAUUUAGGUGCUCAACAUCUACCUUGCAGCGCGAACUGGCGGACUUGAGUGCACGCAACGUAUGCGGAAUUCAUGGUGUAGCGGUGAGCUGCUUAGAUAUCGUGACGAACUCCGAUUGCGAAGGCCGCGUACGGGAGUGUUACUGACGCUUAAGCUCGACGGUGCGGGUAUCGAACAGGAUUAGAUACCUGGUAGUUCGCACGGGUAACGAUGGAUG